RNAcentral lists this unclassified non-coding RNA (378 nucleotides) under plant metagenome. RNAcentral describes it as "partial contains 5.8S ribosomal RNA, internal transcribed spacer 2, and large subunit ribosomal RNA". The stretch from base 1 to 105 matches the Rfam family "5.8S ribosomal RNA", at positions 50 to 154 of the family's 154-position model. The record is from RNAcentral.
GAAAUGCGAUAAGUAAUGUGAAUUGCAGAAUUCAGUGAAUCAUCGAAUCUUUGAACGCACCUUGCGCUCCUUGGUAUUCCUUGGAGCAUGCCUGUUUGAGUAUCAUGAAAUCUUCAAAGUAAAUCUUUUGUUAACUCAAUUGGUUUCUACUUUGGUAUUGGAGGUCUUUGCAGCUUCACACCUGCUCCUCUUUGUUCAUUAGCUGGAUCUCAGUGUUAUGCUUGGUUCCACUCGGCGUGAUAAGUUAUCUAUCGCUGAGGACACUGUAAAAGGUGGCCAAGGUAAAUGCAGAUGAACCGCUUCUAAUAGUCCAUUGACUUGGACAAUACUUUUAUGAUCUGAUCUCAAAUCAGGUAGGACUACCCACUGAACAUAAGC